RNAcentral lists this ribosomal RNA (734 nucleotides) under Bacillus subtilis. Its description in RNAcentral is "bacterial SSU rRNA". It matches the Rfam family "Bacterial small subunit ribosomal RNA", at positions 63 to 780 of the family's 1533-position model. The record is from RNAcentral. Lineage: Bacteria; Bacillati; Bacillota; Bacilli; Caryophanales; Bacillaceae.
CGAGCGGACAGAUGGGAGCUUGCUCCCUGAUGUUAGCGGCGGACGGGUGAGUAACACGUGGGUAACCUGCCUGUAAGACUGGGAUAACUCCGGGAAACCGGGGCUAAUACCGGAUGGUUGUUUGAACCGCAUGGUUCAAACAUAAAAGGUGGCUUCGGCUACCACUUACAGAUGGACCCGCGGCGCAUUAGCUAGUUGGUGAGGUAACGGCUCACCAAGGCAACGAUGCGUACCCGACCUGAGAGGGUGAUCGGCCACACUGGGACUGAGACACGGCCCAGACUCCUACGGGAGGCAGCAGUAGGGAAUCUUCCGCAAUGGACGAAAGUCUGACGGAGCAACGCCGCGUGAGUGAUGAAGGUUUUCGGAUCGUAAAGCUCUGUUGUUAGGGAAGAACAAGUACCGUUCGAAUAGGGCGGUACCUUGACGGUACCUAACCAGAAAGCCACGGCUAACUACGUGCCAGCAGCCGCGGUAAUACGUAGGUGGCAAGCGUUGUCCGGAAUUAUUGGGCGUAAAGGGCUCGCAGGCGGUUUCUUAAGUCUGAUGUGAAAGCCCCCGGCUCAACCGGGGAGGGUCAUUGGAAACUGGGGAACUUGAGUGCAGAAGAGGAGAGUGAAUUCCACGUGUAGCGGUGAAAUGCGUAGAGAUGUGGAGGAACACCAGUGGCGAAGGCGACUCUCUGGUCUGUAACUGACGCUGAGGAGCGAAAGCGUGGGGAGCGAACAGGAUUA